GAUGAACGCUGGCGGCGUGCUUAACACAUGCAAGUCGAACGGAAAGGCCUCUGCUUGCAGGGGUACUCGAGUGGCGAACGGGUGAGUAACACGUGGGUGAUCUGCCCUGCACUUCGGGAUAAGCCUGGGAAACUGGGUCUAAUACCGGAUAGGACAAUGGUUUGGAUGCUGUUGUGGAAAGUUUUUCGGUGUGGGAUGAGCUCGCGGCCUAUCAGCUUGUUGGUGGGGUAAUGGCCUACCAAGGCGUCGACGGGUAGCCGGCCUGAGAGGGUGUACGGCCACAUUGGGACUGAGAUACGGCCCAGACUCCUACGGGAGGCAGCAGUGGGGAAUAUUGCACAAUGGGCGCAAGCCUGAUGCAGCGACGCCGCGUGGGGGAUGAAGGCCUUCGGGUUGUAAACUCCUUUCGCUAGGGACGAAGCGUUUUUGUGACGGUACCUGGAGAAGAAGCACCGGCUAACUACGUG
This 467-nucleotide ribosomal RNA is filed under the name uncultured bacterium. RNAcentral's name for it is "partial 16S ribosomal RNA". It matches the Rfam family "Bacterial small subunit ribosomal RNA", at positions 28 to 507 of the family's 1533-position model. The record is from RNAcentral.